UUUUUAACAAGAAUGAACAGUUAAUAUUACAUUAGAUAUACCUGUAUCAGCUAUCUUCUAUAGAAGGCAAUCGGCAAGGCUGUUGUCCUAUCUUUCUCCACUGUCAUUAUAACAUGAACCUCUCUAUAGUAAGCGAAGACAUAAGUGUACAUCAGCGUUUGCCGACAUUGACAUAAAAUAUCAAAAGAGUUUUUAAAUUUUGCCCUUACAGGAAUAUAAUAUUAAUGUUAAAUGUAACAUAAUUAUAAAUUAUUAAUGUAUAUUGUUUGCAUUAGGUUUGUUUUUGUGUUAUUUUUGUGUAUUGAUCUGUAUGACAAUUGUCAAUAUUAUUUUAUUAUAAUCAAUGACAUGUAUGAAUGAAUAAUAUUAGAUAAAUAUCAAAAGUUUUUCUAGAAAUUGCUGCUCGAUCCAGGAUAUGUUACAUCUCUUCCAUGUUUUCAUUGAUGAAAGCUCUACACCUCGUGGAUCAAUAUGCAAUUUCUAAAGAAUCCUGUUGAUAUUUUAUACCUAUGUCGGCAAAUGCUGGUGCAAUCUUAUGCCUUCGCCUACUAUGUACUUACGCAAAAACAGUGAAUCAAUCUUUUUUGAGGAUAACCAUAAAGAGUUAGUUAUUCUUGUAUUCUUGCCUGUUGACCCUAGUGCCUCUGUUUCGAAUAAAACAAGUUAUUAGAAGUAAUAGUAAAAUGAAAUACAGUUGGCUCUUUCUAAUCCGAGUGAUGGUUUGUUUACAUUUUAUUGUGAUUUGGAUAUGAAAUUUUCCAAAGCUAAGUUUCAAGUUUCAGACGAUUACUUAUGCACCACGCUUUUUGAAACUUUUUACUGGUGACAUUUUCCAAAGUAUUUCGAUUUGGAUACUGCCAAGUUACCAAAGGCGUUGCACCCUUCAGUCUGCUAGAGCUACCUGGUCGCGGGUUCGAAUCCCAUCGAAUAGGCAUCGACUCACACUUCCCAUUACCCACUCACAAGCAAAAAGCUUAUGUGGGCAAUUUAAAAAAAAAAUUCUUAGGAAAAACUUUUUAUCAUUUUUACUUUUUGAGAUAAGAAUUUAGAAAAUUUAUUUUUGAAAAAAUAGCCGAGAUUGAUUUAUUUUUUAAACUAAAAGAAAUGUCUAAAAUUCACAUUCUAAAAAAUCAAGUGUCGUUCGAUAAGCAAUAGCUUGAAGAAUUUAUCUUCUAAUUAUCAUGAAUUUAUAAGCUACUAAAUCUGAAAUGGAACCCCAAAGUUUCCAACUUCUCACCAUAGAUCACAGACGCUCAUGUCUAAAAAGUAAAAAUUAAAGUGAUAAAUACUUUUUCUUUGAAAAUUAUACCAUUUUGGUUACUUAAUAGUAUCAAAAUUGAAAGUUUUCAAAAGCGUGGUUAACAGCCUUAAUUCGAGUUACCUACUUUGAAAAGGAUAUAUGAAGAAUCUUUUGCAAUAAUCAACAUCUAUAGAAAUUCUUCAUUUUUCGGAUUAGAGGGAGUCUAACAUAGUUCACUGUAAUAUAUAUAUAUUUGUGAAGAGCAUUAUGAAAGAUUAGAAUGUAUUAGAUAUUAUAAAUUAUGAGUAAGAUUAAGUGUGCUUGAAUAAUACAUUAGCACUAACUAUAGCAGAUAAAAAAUUUAAAUUUCCAGUUAAGGAUUUUACUUGAAUGUCAAAUAAAAAUGCAAUGGAUCCUAUUUGCAUAAAAAAAUCAACAAAUUUUUGUUUGCAGUUGAUGAAUUUUUAAUAACCUCUAUUAUUGCAGUAUCAACCUGUAGCUUUAAAUUAUAAUUCAGUAAUGGCAUUCGCACAAAUAUUUCUCACUUUUGAAGUAAUAUCAUAAAUAUGUUCACAUUCGUUCAUUUCAAAUUGAUUCCUUGACGAUUGCAUAUCUCUUGAACCACAAUUUCUUUAAUAUUUCAACGAUAAAUUAGAUUACAGUGUAAUAAUUUUCUUGACACAAUCCUCAAUAAAUUUUUGUUGUACCAAGAAAUAAUCAAAGUCCCUCUCUAUAAUCAGUAAUAUAUUAUAUUUAUUACUUUAUCAUUACCAUUUAAAAUGGUUGAGCCUCACACAUGGCAAUUUAUUAUCACAUGUGUUAAUACCUUGAGAAAAUAACCUAUUUGAGUGGGAACCAUAUAAUUCACUUUUACUUCAUCAGUAGCUUCCUUUCAGUAGUCUUCUUCAACCUCUUUUAGGCCACCAAAUAUAACAUUUAUAAAUAAUGGCGUAUAGUUACAAUUUUGAUUAUUCAUCAAUUUGUAGCUGUAAAGAUAUAGUUUUUACUACUGUAACAUUAUUUUUAAGAUCGUAAUAUCACUAUUUUAAUUAUUUUUCAAUAUUAAUAGCCGAAGAUUCAUAGUUUAAACAUCUCAAGAUCUUUUGAGAUAAAUCAUAGAAUAUAUUGAUACAAUUUGAAUAGGAAUGAAUUAGAAAAUCUUACAAAUAAUACUGAUUUCUAGAAUUUAUUAGUAAUAAUGAUGUUCUAUAAUUUCAAUUUAGAAUGUUAGUUGUUGAACUAUGCAAUUUUGAAAAUUGGAUUCUAUAAGUUGAGUUUUUAGAUGACACAGUAGACAGUAGAUAUAAGGUAGUAAAGGCCUCACCUAUAACUUUGAACGCGUGUAAAAAUAAUUUUCCCAUCUCCUUAAUCAAUAUUUACUGUUAUUUCGUAGCAUUCUUGACUCCUAUUAUUUUAUCAGUCUAUGAUGCUACAAUAAUGCAUAAAAUUGUACCCAUUAUUUAACUUAAUCAUUAUAUCACUAACAUCUAUUGUCCAUACAAAAUUACUUUUGACUUGGAGGGAUAUGCAGACCAGAGAAAUGGAGGGAGAUAAGUCAAUUACAGUGAUGAAUAGAGUCAUAAGUAGAAGCGCAGUUGCCAAUUUGUCAGUCGUCUAAAUGCUUUCAGAGAGUUAACUUCGUAUGUGUAUCAUGAGGACUUGUACACUCACAAGAAAUUGGAGAAAGCCGGCAAUUUUAGAACGGCCGCUGUACCCCUACUUUUCUCUGCUGCGCAUAUCCCUCCAAGUCCAAAGUAAUUUUGUAUGGACUAUAAAAUCACUAAUAUCUUAUGUGAUUUCUAAACCGUACGACCACAGGCUACAAGAAAAACUUGAUCUUUGUCGGCAUCACCCUCUGCAAGAAAAAAAUGUUGAAAUCCAUCACUGCUUAUUGGAAAUUAUACUAUAGAUAGCCAUAGAAUAUAAAUCAUGAAACAAUGAAUUAUCUCAGAGUAAAUUCCCUAAUAUAAAUAAUAUUACAAUUACUGUAACUAGAAUCAUUUUAUGCUUUUUCAAUCCACUAACACAAUGUUCUAAUCCACUAACCAAUAUUUUUUAACUUAUUCAAUAAGUUUUGAAAAUAUUUGUAUAUUUAUCCCACUAGAAAUUCAGUUUUAGUUUAUAUUAACUUCUCUAGAUAUAUGAAAUACUAAGAAUCCUUCUAUUAAAAAAACAAAACACGUUUACGUGCUUGUUUAUUUUCUUAAUACUUUGAAUAACUGAAUUUAGAUUAUUAUAAAAUUUAUAAUUCAAUUCAAUCAAGUAUUUUUCUCAUUGAAUAACAAGUAUUUAGGUUCAGUCUUUUUGCACAUUUGAGAAUUUCAUAGGAACUAGUUCAUUUCGAACGUUCUUUCAAGCAUUAUUUAUUUUUUCUUUUAAAUCCGAAACAUUAUCAUUCUCAAUUACUUGAUUUCUCACAUAGGUAUUGAGUAGGAUCAAGUUAAGAAAUAGAAAAUUGUUGUGUAUUCUCAU
RNAcentral lists this long non-coding RNA (3712 nucleotides) under Nilaparvata lugens (brown planthopper). Its description in RNAcentral is "uncharacterized LOC120354740". Lineage: Eukaryota; Metazoa; Arthropoda; Insecta; Hemiptera; Delphacidae. The record is from RNAcentral.